Molecule: unclassified non-coding RNA, 328 nt
Filed under: Hevea brasiliensis (rubber tree)
Lineage: Eukaryota; Viridiplantae; Streptophyta; Magnoliopsida; Malpighiales; Euphorbiaceae
Source: RNAcentral
GACAGUCUCUGAGAAAUCAUUAUCGUCAGAAGGUGAGUCUCCAUCUGCACUCGUGAUGGAUGACAGAGCAGACUUGCUGGGAUCUAGGUCAGGCAAACUAAGUGACCUGUCUACAGGGUCGAAGUCCAUAUCAAAAGAGAGGUCGUUGAAUUUGAACCUGUUUGUAGAGUUUGGAUACUGAUCUGGAUCAGGGAAAACAAUCUCAUUCUCAAAUUUGAAACCAGAGGUUCCAGAGAAACGAGAAUCCGUUCCCAUCUUAAAACCCUAACCCUAACAAAUGAAAAUCCAAAUUUGAACUGAUUGCUCUCCACUAACUCAACUAUGAGCU